GAAAAUUUUUGUUCAUAUCUUAAAAAUUUCUCCAUGAUCAUGUCCUUAUCAAAGCAUUUGCACUGCUUCCUCUUCUACCUUUCAACCAUGCUAGGCAUUUCUCAAUACUUGGCAUCCGGUUUAUACCAAAUAAACCGAAUUCCGAGCCUUUUCAAUAUAAUUGAUGCACUUUUUACCUUUUACUUCAGGUUGUGUGGUCUUAAAUCGAUUUCCAUUGAUAUAGAUGAACAAACCACUGUACGUUUUUGGACCCCAAUUUACAGGAGGUUCUAUAAGCCUAAUCUAGUCAUAAUCCAUGGCUCUGGUGGCGAUACAAGGUGGCAAUUUCUCCAGCAGGUGGGUUAUCUUUCGCGAAACUUUAACCUUUACUUGCCAGAUUUAUUGUUCUUUGGCAAUUCUUAUUCCAAGCAGCAGGACAGGAGCUAUGUGUUUCAAGCGAAGCAGAUGGUACAAGGAUUGAAAAGGUUGAAUUUGGAUAGGUUUUCUGUGUAUGCGGUUAGCUAUGGAGCGUAUGUGGCCUAUUGGAUGGCUGAGAUGUGUCCAAGACAGAUGGAGAAGCUUGUGAUUGUGAGCAGUGGAAUAGGGUGGAAUAAUAUGGAAGAAAGAGAAAAGCAGAUUAGGCUUGUUGGGAGGAGUCCAAAAGAGUUGUUUAUGCCAGCAACUCCACAUGAUCUGCGACUUUUAGGAAACGUAACACUAUGUAGAGGCAAUCUUUUGAAUUGGGUUCCUGAAUUUCUUCUUCAACGUUAUCUCAAUGAAAUAAGUAAUGUGAACAGGAAGGAGAAAUUAGAGCUAAUAGAUCAUGUGUUGGCUAACAAGGAGGAUAACUUUCCCAUUAUAACCCAGGAAACACUCAUAAUAUGGGGUGACCAGGAUAAAAUCUUCCCACCAUUUUUGGCCUAUCGGUUACAAAGGCACCUUGGAUCAAAGGCGAGAGUAGAAAUAAUCAAGGACACUGGCCAUGCUGUAUAUAUAGAAGCUCCUGGUGAUUUGAAUCGUUUAAUAACAACAUUUAUUUUAGGUCACUGUUAACUGUAUUUUUAAAGUUAUAAAUUCAAGAUUGAAGCUUGAUUAAUCCCAUUUAUAUAAUUUUCUAUCAAGAGUGGGAUAUAAUUCAUGUAAUUUUGAGGUAUUAUCAAUUAAUAAAGAUAAAUGAAAUAUA
This 1162-nucleotide unclassified non-coding RNA is filed under the name Hevea brasiliensis (rubber tree). Lineage: Eukaryota; Viridiplantae; Streptophyta; Magnoliopsida; Malpighiales; Euphorbiaceae. The record is from RNAcentral.